UGGGGAAUAUUGCACAAUGGGCGCAAGCCUGAUGCAGCGACGCCGCGUGGGGGAUAACGGCCUUCGGGUUGUAAACUCCUUUCGCUAGGGACGAAGCUUUUUGUGGCGGUACCUAGAUAAGAAGCACCGGCUAACUACGUGCCAGCAGCCGCGGUAAUACGUAGGGUGCGAGCGUUGUCCGGAAUUACUGGGCGUAAAGGGCUCGUAGGUGGUUUGUCGCGUCGUCUGUGAAAUUCCGGGGCUUAACUCCGGGCGUGCAGGCGAUACGGGCAUAACUUGAGUACUGUAGGGGUAACUGGAAUUCCUGGUGUAGCGGUGAAAUGCGCAGAUAUCAGGAGGAACACCGAUGGCGAAGGCAGGUUACUGGGCAGUUACUGACGCUGAGGAGCGAAAGCAUGGGUAGCGAACAGG
Molecule: ribosomal RNA, 411 nt
Filed under: Actinomycetes bacterium
Lineage: Bacteria; Bacillati; Actinomycetota; Actinomycetes
Description: Actinobacteria bacterium partial 16S ribosomal RNA
Rfam family: Bacterial small subunit ribosomal RNA
Source: RNAcentral